GAGUUUGACCCUGGCUCAGAACGAACGCUGGCGGCAUGCCUAACACAUGCAAGUCGAACGAGACCUUCGGGUCGUAGUGGCGCACGGGUGCGUAACGCGUGGGAAUCUGCCCUUGGGUUCGGAAUAACAGUUAGAAAUGACUGCUAAUACCGGAUGAUGACUUCGGUCCAAAGAUUUAUCGCCCAGGGAUGAGCCCGCGUAGGAUUAGCUUGUUGGUGAGGUAAAAGCUCACCAAGGCGACGAUCCUUAGCUGGUCUGAGAGGAUGAUCAGCCACACUGGGACUGAGACACGGCCCAGACUCCUACGGGAGGCAGCAGUGGGGAAUAUUGGACAAUGGGCGAAAGCCUGAUCCAGCAAUGCCGCGUGAGUGAUGAAGGCCUUAGGGUUGUAAAGCUCUUUUACCCGGGAUGAUAAUGACAGUACCGGGAGAAUAAGCCCCGGCUAACUCCGUGCCAGCCGCCGCCGUAAU
RNAcentral lists this ribosomal RNA (470 nucleotides) under uncultured Alphaproteobacteria bacterium. Its description in RNAcentral is "bacterial SSU rRNA". It matches the Rfam family "Bacterial small subunit ribosomal RNA", at positions 9 to 524 of the family's 1533-position model. The record is from RNAcentral. Lineage: Bacteria; Pseudomonadati; Pseudomonadota; Alphaproteobacteria.